GGAUGUGCAGUGGGGAGUGGGGGAGCGAUUUUAGGAGUGAAUUAGGGGAUUAUAGGGGAGUAUAUUCAAAAUCUGAUCAUUUUUUCCUUUUUCGAAAAAAAAAGAGUCAUUUUUCUCUCUAUCUUUCUGACGUUUUCUCCCUCCAUAUCUGUUAAAUUUUUCUUUUUUUUGAUUUUUACUCGGUUGUCUUUUCUUUUCUUUCCUCUACUCCUGCCAAAGUUC
RNAcentral lists this long non-coding RNA (222 nucleotides) under Gossypium raimondii (Peruvian cotton). RNAcentral describes it as "long non-coding RNA (GRAI_LNC008114)". The record is from RNAcentral. Lineage: Eukaryota; Viridiplantae; Streptophyta; Magnoliopsida; Malvales; Malvaceae.